Molecule: long non-coding RNA, 1473 nt
Organism: Oncorhynchus nerka (sockeye salmon)
Lineage: Eukaryota; Metazoa; Chordata; Actinopteri; Salmoniformes; Salmonidae
Exons: 2
Source: RefSeq, a predicted model, not a curated record
GUGUUGUUAUGUUUCACUAUAUUGGAUCACUCCAAUAUAUUGGUAUCACUCCGCGGCGGAUGGAUACAUCCGAAGGAGGAUUUACACAUUUACUCCGGUGUACACCUGUGUCAAGGCUGGGGUCCGCCCCUAUAUAUAGACCCCAUGGCCGCGACACAGACGUUCUCUUUCAUUUUCUCGGCGGAUGUCCGUAUGGGUUGAUGUACAAACUUUCUGAAGUUCGCUUGGUAAGUCACUGGAUUUGGUGGUACGGCCAACCAGCCUCACAACCGCAGACCACGUGUAACCACGCCAACCUAGGACCUCCACAUCCAGCUUCUUCACCUGCGGGAUCGUCUGAGACCAGCUCCCUGGACAGCUGAUGAAACUGGGUUUGCACAACCGGAGAAUUUCUGCACAAACUGUCAGAAGCCGUCUCAGGGAAGCUCAUCUGAAUGCUUGUCUUCCUCACCAGGGUCUUGACCUGAUUGCAGUUUGGUGUCCUAACUGACUUCAGUGAGCAAAUGCUCACCUUCGAUGGCCACUGGGACGCUGGAGAAGUAAGUGUGCUCUUCACGGAUGAUUCCUGGUUUCAACUGUGCUGGGCAGAUGGCAGACCGCGUGUAUGGCUUUGUGUGGGCGAGUGACUUGCUGAUCUUGUUGUGAACCGAGUGCCCCAUGGUGCCGGUGGGGUUAUGGUAUGGGCAGGCAUAAGCCACGGACCAUGAAAAACAAUUGCAUUUUAUCAAUGGCAAUUUGAAUGCACAGAGGUGCUGUGAAAAGAUCCCGAGGCCCAUUGCCGUGUCAUUCAUCCGCCGCCAUCACUUUGUUUCAGCAUGAUAAUGCACGGCCCCAUUUCGCAAGGAUCUGUACACAAUUCCUGGAAGCUGUAAAUGUCCCAGUUAUUCUAUGGCCUGCAUAUUCACCAGACAUAUCACCCAUUUGAAAAUGUUUGUGAUGCUCUGGAUCAAUGUGUAUGACAGCGUGUUCCAGAUCCUGCCAACAUCCAGCAACUUCGCACAGCCAUUGAAGAGGAGUGGGACAACAUUCCACAGGCCACAAUCAACAGCCUGAUCAACUCUAUGCGAAGGAGAUGUCGCCCUGCAUGAGGCAUAUGCUGGUCACACCAGAUACUGACUGGUUUUCUGAUCCACACCUAAUACCUAUUUAUUUAAGGUAUCUGUGACCAACCGAUGCAUAUCUGUUUCCCCAGUCAUGUAAAAUCCAUAGAUUAUGGCCCAUUGAAUUUAUUUCAAUUGACUGAUUUCCUUAUAUGAACUGUAACUCAGUAACAUCUUUUAAACUGUUCCAUGUUGCAUUUUAUAUUUUUGUUCAGUGUCGUUUAGUUGCCUCCCUCUCUGGUUUAUUUACGUGACCCCCGUCACGCCACAGUUUUAAGCAACAAUUAUGUGAGUUAUGGUAGGCAACCUAUAAUUAACGUACAGAUUUCUAUGUUCAGAUCUUAAAUGUAAUGUGGUAUUUGUAGUAAACACA